AUUAUAAUGCCUGCGUCCCAAUGUGCAUACUAUCCAUCCUAAAUUCUAUGUGAUAUUAGUAAUUUUCAAUACUAUUUAGGGCAGAUAGGGUGGAUAGUAUGCACAUUGGGACGCAGGGAAUGAAUCAUUCUUUGGAAAUCUCUUCAGUGAAUCGAUCAAACGGCUCGGCAACCGGUUUGAAUCGUUUUCGCGAUUCAGCGUGAUUCAACUCGGACGGUUCACUCAAUCUUUUUGAAGCGGUUUGUCAGUCGGCAAACGUGAUAGGGAACUUCAAGAAGGAUAAAAACGCAUAUUGAACUUCUAUACAGUCUGCUUGAAAGCAAACCUGCAAGUUCUUGUUGUUUUUCCAGCGAUGAAGAUUCAUUAUGACCAACACGCGCACGUGCGUCCCGAGAACCCCUCUACUGCAGGAAGUGCGUUUUCCUACAGGAGAGAAGUGUGUGUGAUGGACAGGUGAUUAUUUGGGGAGCAGCUUGUGGCAGUCUCUCGAUGGCGAAUGCCAAAUAUUUACGUCUGUGGUGGACAGUCUCCUCUCCAACCGUCCCCUUUGCAGCUCAGGGUCAAAUGGGCUGUGAAUGUUUCCCACAAUCCUCCCA
This 596-nucleotide long non-coding RNA is filed under the name Sinocyclocheilus anshuiensis. Its description in RNAcentral is "lncRNA (ENSSANG00000012853.1)". Lineage: Eukaryota; Metazoa; Chordata; Actinopteri; Cypriniformes; Cyprinidae. The record is from RNAcentral.